UGGGGAAUAUUGGACAAUGGGGGGAACCCUGAUCCAGCCAUGCCGCGUGUGUGAAGAAGGCCUUAUGGUUGUAAAGCACUUUAAGUUGGGAGGAAGGGCAGUAAGCGAAUACCUUGCUGUUUUGACGUUACCGACAGAAUAAGCACCGGCUAACUCUGUGCCAGCAGCCGCGGUAAUACAGAGGGUGCAAGCGUUAAUCGGAAUUACUGGGCGUAAAGCGCGCGUAGGUGGUUCGUUAAGUUGAAUGUGAAAGCCCCGGGCUCAACCUGGGAACUGCAUCCAAAACUGGCGGGCUAGAGUAGGGCAGAGGGUGGUGGAAUUUCCUGUGUAGCGGUGAAAUGCGUAGAUAUAGGAAGGAACACCAGUGGCGAAGGCGACCACCUGGGCUCAUACUGACACUGAGGUGCGAAAGCGUGGGGAGCAAACAGG
This 429-nucleotide ribosomal RNA is filed under the name Pseudomonadota bacterium. Its description in RNAcentral is "Proteobacteria bacterium partial 16S ribosomal RNA". It matches the Rfam family "Bacterial small subunit ribosomal RNA", at positions 355 to 776 of the family's 1533-position model. The record is from RNAcentral. Lineage: Bacteria; Pseudomonadati; Pseudomonadota.